AGUGAACGCUGGCGGUAGGCCUAACACAUGCAGGUCGAACGGCAGCACAGUAAGAGCUUGCUCUUACGGGUGGCGAGUGGCGGACGGGUGAGGAAUACAUCGGAAUCUACUUUUUCGUGGGGGAUAACGUAGGGAAACUUACGCUAAUACCGCAUACGACCUACGGGUGAAAGCAGGGGAUCUUCGGACCUUGCGCGAUUGAAUGAGCCGAUGUCGGAUUAGCUAGUUGGCGGGGUAAAGGCCCACCAAGGCGACGAUCCGUAGCUGGUCUGAGAGGAUGAUCAGCCACACUGGAACUGAGGCACGGUCCAGACUCCUACGGGAGGCAGCAGUGGGGAAUAUUGGACAAUGGGCGCAAGCCUGAUCCAGCCAUACCGCGUGGGUGAAGAAGGCCUUCGGGUUGUAAAGCCCUUUUGUUGGGAAAGAAAAGCAGCAGGUUAAUACCCCGCUGUUCUGACGGUACCCAAAGAAUAAGCACCGGCUAACUUCGUG
Molecule: ribosomal RNA, 492 nt
Filed under: uncultured bacterium
Lineage: Bacteria
Description: partial 16S ribosomal RNA
Rfam family: Bacterial small subunit ribosomal RNA
Source: RNAcentral